GGUGCCUUUACUAAAGGUAAAUGGCGUCAGACCCACCCUCUCAGUAGAACCCACUCAUACAGCUCAGGCUUUUAAACGCUGAUCUCUGGUUCCAUGUGUUUAGAGAAUAGAAAAUCGUUACAGGGUGGAGUGUUUUCAGGCAGCAUUUCAGUUUGAACCUGUUCUCGAACCCAGACAAGCCUUUCCAGUGUCUUUGUUUAACAGAAUAAACACACCAAACUGGUCUUCCUCCAUUCUCUCUCCAUGCAUCCUGCUGACAGCUCUGUCAGGAAGGUGUGGAAGUCUGCACUGCAGAUAAUUAUGGCUGAAUUAUGAACAUGAUUAUUGGCCGCCUUCAUGAAAAUGAAAAUGGACACGUGAGGAAGCAUCAGCUCUACGUAUAUACUCUGUAAAGUCACAAUCAGGAUCCUAUUUAGUGGUGUAUUGUUGAGGCUUGUUUUGUGGUUCGGGGACUCUUAUAAAGAUGUAUGGCAUCAUGAAUUCUGUUAAGUACCAGGAUAUACGUUCAUUCAUCUUCAAUACAGGGUCGUAAUGGAUUUCCAGCCUAUUCUGUGAACACUGGGCACAAGUCGGGAAUACACCCUGUCCAUGAUGUAACCAAUCACUGGAGAGGUCAAGAGACACAGCAGCUGUAGCACACCAAAAAUAGAGGUGUAUGUGCUCACUGAGAAAGGAAGACAGAGAAAGAACCACAAGGUGCUGAAUGGAAAAGUACUGCAGUUCGUGUUGACCAAGCAAAGCUGUGGCCAUACCUCUCAUGACAGGAGACGGGAAGAAAUAUUUCAUUAAUUACAGCAGCCUCUGGAAAAUAAUUCUACAGGUGCUCGGAUGGCAAGGGGGCAGGAAUGAAAGAGGCGACUGGAGCCCAACCAGACGAAAUUCCCUGCCUCUAAUUAGAAGAAAGGUCACUUCCUGUCCAGGAAAGACAAGACAUUCCCUAUCCAAAACAUCCAAGAUGACACUAGCAACAACAGUCUCUCUCUCUGUCUCUCUCUCUCUCUCUCAUACACACACACACACACACACACACACUUGGUCGGAGAGGACCUUAUGCUGGCAGCACUACAGUGACCCACAUGAAGUGCUUUCUGUUCUUUUUCAAGACUGCAGAUGGUUGAGUGAGCAGUAAACAGGGAAGAGCACAUUAAAAACACCACCACACUCAUACAAAACUUGUAGAUUAAAGAGACUAUUUCAACAUCA
This is a long non-coding RNA of Ictalurus punctatus (channel catfish), 1203 nucleotides long. RefSeq lists it as uncharacterized. The record is from RefSeq and is a predicted model, not a curated record. NCBI's taxonomy places the organism in Eukaryota, Metazoa, Chordata, Actinopteri, Siluriformes, Ictaluridae. The transcript is spliced from 4 exons.